GAUGAACGCUAGCGACAGGCCUAACACAUGCAAGUCGAGGGGCAGCACAUGAGUAGCAAUACGAUGGUGGCGACCGGCGCACGGGUGAGUAACACGUAUGCAACCUGCCUGUAAGCGGGGGAUAACCCGGAGAAAUUCGGACUAAUACCGCAUAAUACUGUGAAUUUGCAUGAAUUUACAGUUAAAUAUUUAUAGCUUACAGAUGGGCAUGCGUAUGAUUAGAUAGUUGGUAGGGUAACGGCCUACCAAGUCAACGAUCAUUAGGGGUUCUGAGAGGAAGGUCCCCCACACUGGUACUGAGACACGGACCAGACUCCUACGGGAGGCAGCAGUGAGGAAUAUUGGUCAAUGGGCGAGAGCCUGAACCAGCCAAGUCGCGUGAAGGAAGACGGUUCUAUGAAUUGUAAACUUCUUUUGUAGAGGAAUAAAGUGGGUUACGUGUAGCCUUUUGUAUGUACUUUACGAAUAAGGAUCGGCUAACUCCGUGCCAGCAGCCGAC
This 499-nucleotide ribosomal RNA is filed under the name uncultured bacterium. RNAcentral describes it as "bacterial SSU rRNA". It matches the Rfam family "Bacterial small subunit ribosomal RNA", at positions 28 to 518 of the family's 1533-position model. The record is from RNAcentral.